RNAcentral lists this ribosomal RNA (426 nucleotides) under uncultured bacterium. Its description in RNAcentral is "bacterial SSU rRNA". It matches the Rfam family "Bacterial small subunit ribosomal RNA", at positions 355 to 773 of the family's 1533-position model. The record is from RNAcentral.
UGGGGAAUUUUGGACAAUGGGGGCAACCCUGAUCCAGCAAUGCCGCGUGUGUGAAGAAGGCCUUCGGGUUGUAAAGCACUUUUGUCCGGGAAGAAAAGGCGCUGGCUAAUACCUGGCGUUGAUGACGGUACCGGAAGAAUAAGCACCGGCUAACUACGUGCCAGCAGCCGCGGUAAUACGUAGGGUGCAAGCGUUAAUCGGAAUUACUGGGCGUAAAGCGUGCGCAGGCGGUUUGGUAAGACAGAUGUGAAAUCCCCGGGCUCAACCUGGGAAUUGCAUUUGUGACUGCCCGGCUAGAGUGUGUCAGAGGGGGGUAGAAUUCCACGUGUAGCAGUGAAAUGCGUAGAUAUGUGGAGGAAUACCGAUGGCGAAGGCAGCCCCCUGGGAUAACACUGACGCUCAUGCACGAAAGCGUGGGGAGCAAAC